GGAUUAGUUCAUUUAAUUAAGAAAAUUAGAGGUGUUGUUUCCCGAUUAGCGAUGGGGAAGCCUACAGGGAAGAAGACGACACAGGCAGAAGGGAAACCUGAGGGUGCAAAUGCGAAGAGCAAGCCGGGAGACCAGGGCACAAAAGCCUACGACGAGGACACGGCCGUCUUCAUCACUAUGUCUCAGGAGCUGAAGGAGGAAGGGAACAAGCUCUUUCAGAAGAGGGAUUGUGAAGGAGCAAU
Telopea speciosissima is the source of this 242-nucleotide long non-coding RNA. RefSeq lists it as uncharacterized. NCBI's taxonomy places the organism in Eukaryota, Viridiplantae, Streptophyta, Magnoliopsida, Proteales, Proteaceae. The transcript is spliced from 3 exons. The record is from RefSeq and is a predicted model, not a curated record.